Long non-coding RNA from Herpailurus yagouaroundi (jaguarundi), 422 nucleotides. RefSeq lists it as uncharacterized. The record is from RefSeq and is a predicted model, not a curated record. Lineage: Eukaryota; Metazoa; Chordata; Mammalia; Carnivora; Felidae. The transcript has 2 exons.
CCCCCUGUCUUCCAAGCAGCAUGUGAUCCCUCCAGAUCCUUCAAAUUGGCCCAUGUUUGUGGCUGGUCAGUAGCACAGAGCAUGACCUCUGAGUUUUGUCCCCCGAGCCGAACAGAGGGGCUAACCCGGGUGUGUCUGGAACUUUUCCUCCCUCCACACAAAGGUCCUCUAUUGUGAUGUGGAGCAAUCAUCUGUCAUUGCCUAGCAACUGAAGCCCCUGUCUACACUUAAGGAGAACCCACCUGCCGGAGGCCGUCUUUCCCCAUCUCCUCAGACGCUUGGACGCAGCCACGUUUCGAGUUUCCUGUUAAUCAGAUGUCUCCAGCCCACACUUUGGAAAGAAAGUUCCUGACAACUUCUCUGCUACAUUAGCCAGAUUGAGUUCGUGUUGUGUGAAAUAAAAGCCUUGACUGACAGGUUAA